UAUAAAGUCUGACCUGCCCAAUGAGGAUUUAAAUGGCCGCGGUAUUUUGACCGUGCAAAGGUAGCAUAAUAAUUAGUUUUUUAAUUGAAAGCUGGAAUGAAUGGUUGGACGAGAAAAUAGCUGUCUCAGAUUAAUUUAAUUAGAAUUUUAUUUUUAAGUAAAAAAGCUUAAAUUUUUUUAAAAGACGAGAAGACCCUAUAGAGCUUUAUAUAUUUAAAAUUAAAUUUAAUUUAGUAUAAUUUAGUUUUUAUUUUUAAAUGUAUUUUAUUGGGGUGAUAAAAAAAUUAAUAAAACUUUUUUUUUAUAUUAACAUUGAUUUAUGAAUUAUUGAUCCAUUUUUUAUGAUUAAAAGAUUAAGUUACCUUAGGGAUAACAGCGUAAUUUUUUUUUAGAGUUCUUAUCGAAAAAAGAGAUUGCGACCUCGAUGUUGGAUUAAAAUUAAUAUUUGGUGUAGAAGCUAAAUAAUUGGGUCUGUUCGACCUUUGAAAUUUUACA
RNAcentral lists this ribosomal RNA (495 nucleotides) under Hymenoplia galaica. RNAcentral describes it as "partial 16S large subunit ribosomal RNA". It matches the Rfam family "Bacterial large subunit ribosomal RNA", at positions 1844 to 2600 of the family's 2925-position model. The record is from RNAcentral. Lineage: Eukaryota; Metazoa; Arthropoda; Insecta; Coleoptera; Scarabaeidae.